ACCGCACAAGCGUGGAUGAUGUGGUUUAAUUCGAUGCAACGCGAAAACUUACCACCUUUGACAUGUACGAACUCGCCAGAGAUGGCUUGGUGCUCGAAAGAGAACCGUAACACAGGUGCUGCAUGGCUGUCGUCAGCUCGUGUCGUGAGAUGUUGGGUUAAGUCCCGCAACGAGCGCAACCCUUGUCAUUAGUUGCUACAUUUAGUUGGGCACUCUAAUGAGACUGCCGGUGACAAGCCGGAGGAAGGUGGGGAUGACGUCAAGUCCUCAUGGCCCUUAUAGGUGGGGCUACACACGUCAUACAAUGGCUGGUACAGAGGGUUGCCAACCCGCGAGGGGGAGCUAAUCCCAUAAAACCAGUCGUAGUCCGGAUCGCAGUCUGCAACUCGACUGCGUGAAGUCGGAAUCGCUAGUAAUCGCGGAUCAGAAUGUCGCGGUGAAUACGUUCCCGGGUCUU
RNAcentral lists this ribosomal RNA (457 nucleotides) under uncultured Polaromonas sp. Its description in RNAcentral is "bacterial SSU rRNA". It matches the Rfam family "Bacterial small subunit ribosomal RNA", at positions 920 to 1382 of the family's 1533-position model. The record is from RNAcentral. Lineage: Bacteria; Pseudomonadati; Pseudomonadota; Betaproteobacteria; Burkholderiales; Comamonadaceae.